RNAcentral lists this small nucleolar RNA (138 nucleotides) under Ornithorhynchus anatinus (platypus). Lineage: Eukaryota; Metazoa; Chordata; Mammalia; Monotremata; Ornithorhynchidae. The record is from RNAcentral.
CCCUUCUCAAGGUUGCACCUGGAGAGCUUUCAGUGCUCUACCAGUUUUGACUAUGGGAGGGAGAGUUAAGCAGAGGCCUACCCAUUCCAUUCCUAGCUUGGCCAGUGGCCAGUGAGUGGCAGGCAAUCUGCUACAAGU